RNAcentral lists this ribosomal RNA (223 nucleotides) under uncultured bacterium. Its description in RNAcentral is "partial 16S ribosomal RNA". It matches the Rfam family "Bacterial small subunit ribosomal RNA", at positions 15 to 219 of the family's 1533-position model. The record is from RNAcentral.
GAUCCUGGCUCAGGAUGAACGCUGGCGGCGUGCUUAACACAUGCAAGUCGAACGGAGAGCUAAUGAUUGAGGAUUCGUCCAAAUGAUUUAGUUUCUUAGUGGCGGACUGGUGAGCAACGCGUGAGGAACCUGCCUUGGAGUGGGGAAUAACACAGUGAAAAUUGUGCUAAUACCGCAUAAUGCAGUUGAGUCGCAUGGCUCUGACUGCCAAAGAUUUAUCGCU